GACGAACGCUGGCGGCGUGCUUAACACAUGCAAGUCGAACGGAAAGGCCCUGCUUUUGUGGGGUGCUCGAGUGGCGAACGGGUGAGUAACACGUGAGUAACCUGCCCUUGACUUUGGGAUAACUUCAGGAAACUGGGGCUAAUACCGGAUAGGAGCUCCUGCUGCAUGGGGGGGGUUGGAAAGUUUCGGCGGUUGGGGAUGGACUCGCGGCUUAUCAGCUUGUUGGGGGGGUAGGGGCUGACCAAGGCUUUGACGGGUAGCCGGCCUGGGAGGGUGACCGGCCACAUUGGGACUGCGAGAGGGACCAGAAUCCAACGGGAGGCAGCAGUGGGGAAUAUUGCACAAUGAGCGGAAGCCUGAUGCAGCAACGCCGCGUGCGGGAUGACGGCCUUCGGGUUGUAAACCGAUUUCGCCGGUGACGAAGAGUGAGUGACGGUACUGGGUAAAGAAGCACCGGCUAACUACGUG
This 468-nucleotide ribosomal RNA is filed under the name uncultured bacterium. RNAcentral describes it as "partial 16S ribosomal RNA". It matches the Rfam family "Bacterial small subunit ribosomal RNA", at positions 28 to 507 of the family's 1533-position model. The record is from RNAcentral.